RNAcentral lists this ribosomal RNA (479 nucleotides) under uncultured bacterium. RNAcentral describes it as "partial 16S ribosomal RNA". It matches the Rfam family "Bacterial small subunit ribosomal RNA", at positions 356 to 851 of the family's 1533-position model. The record is from RNAcentral.
GGGGAAUAUUGGACAAUGGGGGCAACCCUGAUCCAGCAAUGCCGCGUGUGUGAAGAAGGUCUUCGGAUUGUAAAGCACUUUCGACGGGGACGAUGAUGACGGUACCCGUAGAAGAAGCCCCGGCUAACUUCGUGCCAGCAGCCGCGGUAAUACGAAGGGGGCUAGCGUUGCUCGGAAUGACUGGGCGUAAAGGGCGUGUAGGCGGUUUACACAGUCAGAUGUGAAAUCCCCGGGCUUAACCUGGGAGCUGCAUUUGAUACGUGUAGACUAGAGUGUGAGAGAGGGUUGUGGAAUUCCCAGUGUAGAGGUGAAAUUCGUAGAUAUUGGGAAGAACACCGGUGGCGAAGGCGGCAACCUGGCUCAUGACUGACGCUGAGGCGCGAAAGCGUGGGGAGCAAACAGGAUUAGGAUACCCUGGUAGUCCACGCUGUAAACGAUGUGUGCUAGAUGUUGGGUAACUUUGUUAUUCAGUGUCGCAG